Molecule: long non-coding RNA, 249 nt
Organism: Engraulis encrasicolus (European anchovy)
Lineage: Eukaryota; Metazoa; Chordata; Actinopteri; Clupeiformes; Engraulidae
Exons: 3
Source: RefSeq, a predicted model, not a curated record
GUGGCCAUUGCCCGAACUUGUUCUUACGGCUGCUGUCUUGGGAGCGCAAUCCUGCUUGCCAGAAGAGCUGUGGCUGAAUUGGCAAAGAGUAGGCCCACCUAAACAGCAUGUCAAAUAUAAGGACAUUGGCUGAUUACAAGCCACAAGAGACACAAGCCAGCCAAGCAACCAACCCAACUCCCACAGGGGCACAGGGCAGGAUUGUAAACAGAGCAGUAUUUCAAGGCAACACGGUUGGAAAAGGCAUCU